GAACCGCUACACUGAUG
This 17-nucleotide small nuclear RNA is filed under the name Eremothecium gossypii ATCC 10895. RNAcentral's name for it is "AgSNR50 (AGOS_AgSNR50)". The record is from RNAcentral. RNAcentral also lists the same sequence under 1 other name. Lineage: Eukaryota; Fungi; Ascomycota; Saccharomycetes; Saccharomycetales; Saccharomycetaceae.